RNAcentral lists this ribosomal RNA (436 nucleotides) under Malaciobacter molluscorum LMG 25693. RNAcentral's name for it is "bacterial SSU rRNA". It matches the Rfam family "Bacterial small subunit ribosomal RNA", at positions 508 to 943 of the family's 1533-position model. The record is from RNAcentral. Lineage: Bacteria; Pseudomonadati; Campylobacterota; Epsilonproteobacteria; Campylobacterales; Arcobacteraceae.
CCAGCGGCCGCGGUAAUACGGAGGGCGCAAGCGUUACUCGGAAUCACUAGGCGUAAAGAGCGUGGACGCGGAUAAAUAAUGCAGGAGUGAAAUCCAAUAGCUCAACUAUUGAACUGCUUUAGAAACUGUGUAUAUAGAGUAUGGGAGAGGUAGAUGGAAGUUCUGGUGUAGGGGUAAAAUCCGUAGAGAUCAGAAGGAAUACAGAUUGCGAAGGCGAUCUACUGGAACAUAACAGACGCUGAGACGCGAAAGCGUGGGGAGCAAACCGGAUUAGAUACCCUGGUAGUCCACGCCCUAAACGAUGUAUAUUUGUGUUUGCUAUGCUUGACGUAUCUUUAAUGCAGUUUACAUAGUAAGUGUAACUGAUGAGUAGCACCGUUGACAGAAUAAAACUCAAGGGAAUGUAUGGAGACUCGGCCAAGAGGUGGGGGCUGUG